Molecule: long non-coding RNA, 518 nt
Organism: Hydra vulgaris (swiftwater hydra)
Lineage: Eukaryota; Metazoa; Cnidaria; Hydrozoa; Anthoathecata; Hydridae
Source: RefSeq, a predicted model, not a curated record
AAAUUGUUUUAGUUGGUAAGAGUAAAAAAAAUUUACUUAACAACCGCAUAGCAACCAAUAAUUUUUUAUAGAUAUAUUACCCAAAGACCUAGAUUUAAACAAUUAUUUCUUUUCAUGGGUCUGUAUAAUUAACUAAACUUUUGAACCAGAGUUAUUUUUAGCAAAGCCGUAUGUUUUGAUGUUAUUUGUUAAGCAGAAAAAAAAAUCCAUCCAUGCCUGGAUGGCGCAACACAAAAUCCAAAUGAGGUUUUCAACCAGAUAAUCUGGAAAAAGUGUCCAAAAAAUAUUUUUGUUACUAAAAAGCUCUUGCCUGGAAGUUUUAUGAUCCAAGGAUCGUGGAAGAAGGACGUAUCAAGAGUAAAGAACACGAUUAAAAAUUCAACUCCAAAGCAAAAAAGGGCUAGAAGGAAAAGGAGAUGUAUCAGGAAGGGUUAUAUUGAUAAGGAGAAAGAAAAAGAGGGAGUAGACUCUUAUAUUACAGGAAAUUUUUAAUUAAUAAAUUGUUUUUAAACUUUGAA